CGCUCCGGUGGCCUAGUGGCUAGAGUGUCCGCCUCGGAUGCGGGAGAACGUAGGUUCGAUCCCCAGUCGGUCGA
Molecule: non-coding RNA, 74 nt
Organism: Potamilus streckersoni
Lineage: Eukaryota; Metazoa; Mollusca; Bivalvia; Unionida; Unionidae
Source: the annotation of a GenBank genome assembly